UGGAUCCAGACUUUGAUCAUGGCUCAGGAUGAACGCUAGCUACAGGCUUAACACAUGCAAGUCGAGGGGAAACGACAUCGAAAGCUUGCUUUUGAUGGGCGUCGACCGGCGCACGGGUGAGUAACGCGUAUCCAACCUGCCCACCACUUGGGGAUAACCUUGCGAAAGUAAGGCUAAUACCCAAUGACGUCUCUAGAAGACAUCUGAAAGAGAUUAAAGAUUUAUCGGUGAUGGAUGGGGAUGCGUCUGAUUAGCUUGUUGGCGGGGUAACGGCCCACCAAGGCUACGAUCAGUAGGGGUUCUGAGAGGAAGGUCCCCCACAUUGGAACUGAGACACGGUCCAAACUCCUACGGGAGGCAGCAGUGAGGAAUAUUGGUCAAUGGACGAGAGUCUGAACCAGCCAAGUAGCGUGCAGGAUGACGGCCCUAUGGGUUGUAAACUGCUUUUAUAAGGGAAUAAAGUGAGUCUCGUGAGACUUUUUGCAUGUACCUUAUGAAUAAGGACCGGCUAAUUCCGUGCCAGCAGCCGCGGUAAUACGGAAGGUCCGGGCGUUAUCCGGAUUUAUUGGGUUUAAAGGGAGCGUAGGCCGGAGAUUAAGCGUGUUGUGAAAUGUAGACGCUCAACGUCUGCACUGCAGCGCGAACUGGUUUCCUUGAGUACGCACAAAGUGGGCGGAAUUCGUGGUGUAGCGGUGAAAUGCUUAGAUAUCACGAAGAACUCCGAUUGCGAAGGCAGCUCACUGGAGCGCAACUGACGCUGAA
RNAcentral lists this ribosomal RNA (762 nucleotides) under uncultured bacterium. RNAcentral's name for it is "bacterial SSU rRNA". It matches the Rfam family "Bacterial small subunit ribosomal RNA", at positions 1 to 750 of the family's 1533-position model. RNAcentral also lists the same sequence under 1 other name. The record is from RNAcentral.